RNAcentral lists this ribosomal RNA (532 nucleotides) under uncultured bacterium. RNAcentral's name for it is "bacterial SSU rRNA". It matches the Rfam family "Bacterial small subunit ribosomal RNA", at positions 384 to 916 of the family's 1533-position model. The record is from RNAcentral.
UGAACCAGCCAUGCCGCGUGAAGGAAGAAUGUCCUAUGGAUUGUAAACUUCUUUUAUUUGGGAAGAAACCCUUCUACGUGUAGAAGGCUGACGGUACCAAAGGAAUAAGGACCGGCUAACUCCGUGCCAGCAGCCGCGGUAAUACGGAGGGUCCAAGCGUUAUCCGGAAUCAUUGGGUUUAAAGGGUUCGCAGGCGGUUUAAUAAGUCAGUGGUGAAAUCCCGUAGCUCAACUAUGGAACUGCCAUUGAUACUGUUAGACUUGAAUACAGUUGGAGUAGGCGGAAUGUGUAGUGUAGCGGUGAAAUGCUUAGAUAUUACACAGAACACCGAUAGCGAAGGCAGCUUACUAAACUGUGAUUGACGCUCAUGAACGAAAGCGUGGGGAGCGAACAGGAUUAGAUACCCUGGUAGUCCACGCCGUAAACUAUGAUUACUCGAUAUUGGCGAUAUACGGUCAGUGUCUAAGCGAAAGUGAUAAGUAAUCCACCUGGGGAGUACGGUCGCAAGAUUGAAACUCAAAGGAAUUGACGG